UACGAAGGGGGCUAGCGUUGCUCGGAAUCACUGGGCGUAAAGGGUGCGUAGGCGGGUCUUUAAGUCAGGGGUGAAAUCCUGGAGCUCAACUCCAGAACUGCCUUUGAUACUGAAGAUCUUGAGUUCGGGAGAGGUGAGUGGAACUGCGAGUGUAGAGGUGAAAUUCGUAGAUAUUAGGAAGAACACCAGUGGCGAAGGCGGCUCACUGGCCCGGUACUGACGCUCAUGUGCGAAAGCGUGGGGAGCAAACAGG
Molecule: ribosomal RNA, 253 nt
Filed under: uncultured bacterium
Lineage: Bacteria
Description: partial 16S ribosomal RNA
Rfam family: Bacterial small subunit ribosomal RNA
Source: RNAcentral